Molecule: ribosomal RNA, 253 nt
Filed under: uncultured bacterium
Lineage: Bacteria
Description: partial 16S ribosomal RNA
Rfam family: Bacterial small subunit ribosomal RNA
Source: RNAcentral
GACAGAGGCCACGAACGUUGUUCGGAAUCACUGGGCAUAAAGCGCACGUAGGCGGCUGGGUCCGUCGGAUGUGAAAGCCCCCGGCUCAACCGGGGAAUUGCAUCCGAUACAGCCCGGCUUGAGGACGGUUGGGGUGAGUGGAACUCCUGGUGGAGCGGUGAAAUGCGUAGAUAUCAGGAGGAACACCGGUGGCGAAGGCGGGUCUCUGGGCUGUAACUGACGCUGAGGAGCGAAAGCGUGGGGAGCGAACAGG